This 77-nucleotide transfer RNA is filed under the name Bacteroidota bacterium. Its description in RNAcentral is "tRNA-Ser". It matches the Rfam family "tRNA". Rfam says of the family: Transfer RNA (tRNA) molecules are approximately 80 nucleotides in length. Their secondary structure includes four short double-helical elements and three loops (D, anti-codon, and T loops). Further hydrogen bonds mediate the characteristic L-shaped molecular structure. tRNAs have two regions of fundamental functional importance: the anti-codon, which is responsible for specific mRNA codon recognition, and the 3' end, to which the tRNAs corresponding amino acid is attached (by aminoacyl-tRNA synthetases). tRNAs cope with the degeneracy of the genetic code in two manners: having more than one tRNA (with a specific anti-codon) for a particular amino acid; and 'wobble' base-pairing, i.e. permitting non-standard base-pairing at the 3rd anti-codon position. Lineage: Bacteria; Pseudomonadati; Bacteroidota. The record is from RNAcentral.
GAGGAAUUAGCUCAAUUGGCCAGAGCGUCCCGAAGUGAAUUCGGGAAGGUCCAUCGGUUCGACCCCAAUAUUCUCCA